RNAcentral lists this ribosomal RNA (1325 nucleotides) under metagenome. RNAcentral's name for it is "bacterial LSU rRNA". It matches the Rfam family "Bacterial large subunit ribosomal RNA", at positions 1561 to 2925 of the family's 2925-position model. The record is from RNAcentral.
AGUGGAUGGGGAGCAACCUAGUUGUGCGUGUGUAAAGGUAGUGCCAAGAAAAGCGGUGAUCAUGAUGAAAAUCAAUUCCCGGUACCCGAAACCGACACAGGUGGGCAAGUAGAGAAUACUAAGGGGCGCGAGGUAACUCUCUCCAAGGAACUCGGCAAAAUGACCCCGUAACUUAGGGAGAAGGGGUGCCACCGAGAGGUGGUCGCAGUGAAGAGGCCCAGGCGACUGUUUAGCAAAAACAUAGGUCUCUGCAAACUCGAAAGAGGAGGUAUAGGGGCUGACGCCUGCCCAGUGCCGGAAGGUUAAAGAAGUUGGUCAGUCUUAGGAUGAAGCUAGCGACUGAAGCCCCGGUGAACGGCGGCCGUAACUAUAACGGUCCUAAGGUAGCGAAAUUCCUUGUCGGGUAAGUUCCGACCCGCACGAAAGGCGUAACGAUCUGGGCGCUGUCUCGGAGAGAGGCUCGGCGAAAUAGGAUUGUCUGUGAAGAUACGGACUACCUGCAUUUGGACAGAAAGACCCUAUGAAGCUUUACUAUAGCUUGGAAUUGUGUUCGGGCUUCCUGUGCGCAGGAUAGGUGGGAGGCGUAGAAGGUAUUCUUGUGGGGAUACUGGAGCCAACGGUGAGAUACCACUCUCGGGAGGCUAGAAUUCUAACUUAAUCAAGGACAGUUUCAGGUGGGUAGUUUGACUGGGGCGGUCGCCUCCAAAAAGGUAACGGAGGCGUACAAAGGUUCCCUCAGACUGGUUGGAAAUCAGUCGAAGAGUGCAAAGGCAGAAGGGAGCUUGACUGCGAGAAGUACAGUUCGAGCAGGGUGGAAACACGGUCUUAGUGAUCCGACGGUGCUGUGUGGAAGGGCCGUCGCUCAACGGAUAAAAGUUACUCUAGGAUAACAGGCUGAUCUCCCCCAAGAGUUCACAUCGACGGGGAGGUUUGGCACCUCGAUGUCGGCUCAUCGCAACCUGGGGCGGAAGUACGUCCCAAGGGUUGGGCUGUUCGCCCAUUAAAGCGGUACGUGAGCUGGGUUCAGAACGUCGUGAGACAGUUCGGUCCAUAUCCGAUGUAGGCGUGAGAAUAUUGAGAGGAGCCUUCCUUAGUACGAGAGGACCGGGAAGGACGCACCGCUGGUGUACCUGUUAUGAUGCCAAUUGUAAACGCAGGGUAGCCAAGUGCGGAGAGGAUAACCGCUGAAAGCAUCUAAGUGGGAAGCCCACCUCAAGAUGAGUAUUCUGGUGUAAGGUCACGGGAAGACGACCCGUAAAUAGGCACGAGGUGGAAGUGCAGAGAUGUAUGAAGCCGAAGUGUACUAAUAGACCGUCGGCUUGACC